UUUAAGGGCAACCAUAAGUUUCAACGUCCAAUUUUGAUUGUCCGUCUUGUUUGAAAAUUUUUUAUAAUUAGUAUUUUUGUUAUUAUGAGAUGAUAAAAUAAAAAACAUAAACGUGACUUAUGUUUUUAAUUUUUUUUAAAAAAUUAAAAUAAGACGAACGGUCAAAGUUGAACGCGGAAAAACAUGGUUGCACUUAAA
Non-coding RNA from Oryza glumipatula, 198 nucleotides. Lineage: Eukaryota; Viridiplantae; Streptophyta; Magnoliopsida; Poales; Poaceae. The record is from Rfam.